UAACACGUGCGAUUGUCUCUACAAAUACAAUACGACGAAUCUUAUAUAAAAGUUUUAUUAUCUCUUGCAGCAAAAUAGAAGAUAGAAGUUUUUGUCUGUAAUGCUGUUGUGACUUAUUUAAUUUAAACAUUUUGCCAUCGUAAAUAAAUUUUUAGGAUAAAUUUUUAGGACAAGCAUCGAGACAUCGUGAUGUAUAUAUAGACGUUAAUAGAAAAAAAUCAGCUUCUACAAUAUAAAGAAAAUUAACAUCCGAUAAUGAUUUGAACAUCUUUAUGUAAGGAAGGUAAGUCUUAUAAAUAACAAGCAACUGCCCGCAGCUUAGGUUGCGUAAAAAUUAAUAACAUUUUCGAAGAGGGUCUGAAAAGUAUUUAAGGUUAGAUUUUCAACAAAAGCUGAAACAUGUGCAUGUGUAAGCACACAUCAGUAGUCCAGAAUUAAAAUUUGAUGUUUCCAGUUUCAAAAAUGAUAAACUUUAAAUUUAAACUUUCGACCCCUAUUUCAAGCCCUUAGAAGUAUAAUUUUUUGAUCUCCAUUCGUGGAUAGUGUACCGUAGAUUGCAAUCCACGAUGCUGAAAUAUGUAUUUGUUUAUUUUUAUUCAGUAGUUCAAAAAUUAAGUUUCAUGGUUUCAAACAUUAUAGACUUUCAAACAUACAAAUUUUCCUAUUUCACCCCCUUGGUAUAAUUUUUCAAAAUCUGUUGUUAUUGUUAGAGGAGUAGUGUCUAUUAGCUUACCUAACAGACACUUCUAAACUUGUAGUGUUUAUAGCAAAAAAACUGACGGACUUUCAUACCAACUUGCUUGAGCCCUUAGACCACUUGAAUUUGGUCCUGUCAUAAAAUCCGUUCUUGGACAUCCACAAACUAUUAUCUAUCUCUCUGCGAAAUGUCA
This is a long non-coding RNA of Melitaea cinxia (Glanville fritillary), 890 nucleotides long. RefSeq lists it as uncharacterized. The transcript has 3 exons. Lineage: Eukaryota; Metazoa; Arthropoda; Insecta; Lepidoptera; Nymphalidae. The record is from RefSeq and is a predicted model, not a curated record.